UGCCCCAUGGCUGAGUUGGUUACAGCGUCCGACUGUUAUUGCGACGGAAUCGGAAGGUCGUGAGUUCGAGCCUCACUGGGGCAG
Molecule: transfer RNA, 84 nt
Filed under: Gloeophyllum trabeum ATCC 11539
Lineage: Eukaryota; Fungi; Basidiomycota; Agaricomycetes; Gloeophyllales; Gloeophyllaceae
Rfam family: tRNA
About the family: Transfer RNA (tRNA) molecules are approximately 80 nucleotides in length.
Source: Rfam by way of RNAcentral